AUCCAGCUGACAAGUCCCGAAUAGGACGAAACGCGCAUCCUGCAU
RNAcentral lists this non-coding RNA (45 nucleotides) under Schistosoma mansoni. The record is from RNAcentral. Lineage: Eukaryota; Metazoa; Platyhelminthes; Trematoda; Strigeidida; Schistosomatidae.